AUUAAAGUUGUUGCAAUUAAAAAGCUCGUAGUUGGACUUGUGUGCGCUGUCCGCGGGUGGCCUGCGCCCAAAAGGGCGUUUUCGGUUCGGCCCCGGUGGCGCCUUGAAAUCUGCAGCUGGGGGGACGUUGGCCUUAACUGGUCGGCGACCGCACGCCGGCUGCUCGGUUACUGUGAGAAAAUUAGAGUGUUCAAGGCAGGCAUUGGGUGCAAUUGAAUACAUUAGCAUGGAAUAAUAAAAUAUGGCUCCUGCCGUAUUUUGUUGGUUUUGACUGGUGGGAGUAAUGAUUGAUAGGGACGGUUGGGGGUGCUAGUAUUGAGCGGCCAGAGGUGAAAUUCAUGGAUUCGCUCAAGACUAACUUAUGCGAAAGCAUUCACCAAGGACGUCCUCUUUAAUCAAGAACGAAAGUUGGGGGAUCGAAGACGAUCAGAUACCGUCGUAGUCUCAACCAUAAACUAUGUCGACUUGGGAUCGGCGGUAGUUUUUUCAUUAAGACACUGUCGGGACCACGGGAGAAAUCAAAGUGUCUGGACUCUGGGGGAAGUAUGGUCGCAAGGCUGAAACUUGAAGGAAUUGACGGAAGGGCACCACCAGGAGUGGAGCCUGCGGCUUAAUUUGACCCAACACGGGGAAACUUACCAGGUCCAGAGAUGUAGAGGAUUGACAGAUUGAAGCUCUUUCUUGAUCACUUCGGUGGUGGUGCAUGGCCGUUCUUAGUUGGUGGAGUGAUUUGUCUGUUAAUUCCGUUAACGAACGAGACCUCAGCCUGCUAGUGUAGUCGGCUGGAUUGCCUUUGGCGAUCCGUGAUUUCGACUUCUUAGAGGGACAAUCGACGCGCAGUCGAUGGAAGUUUGAGGCAAUAACAGGUCUGUGAUGCCCUUAGAUGUUCUGGGCCGCACGCGCGCUACACUGCUGGGCUCAGCGAGUUUUACUUGGCCGAGAGGCCCGGUUAAUCUUGUGAAAUCCCAGCGUGCUUGGGCUCGCCUCCUGCAACUGGAGGCGCCAACGAGGAAUUCCUAGUAGACGCAGGUCAUCAACCUGCAUCGAUUACGUCCCUGCCCUUUGUACACACCGCCCGUCGUUCCAUAAGAGUGAGGCAUCCGGUGAAUUCUCGGGAGAGCCUGGGCGUGGCCAGCAAUGGUCUGCUCGGGUUUGAACUUGCAUAAACUUGGUGCCUAUGAUUAGGG
This 1187-nucleotide ribosomal RNA is filed under the name metagenome. Its description in RNAcentral is "SSU rRNA". It matches the Rfam family "Eukaryotic small subunit ribosomal RNA", at positions 603 to 1783 of the family's 1831-position model. The record is from RNAcentral.